This is a non-coding RNA of Gossypium raimondii (Peruvian cotton), 107 nucleotides long. Lineage: Eukaryota; Viridiplantae; Streptophyta; Magnoliopsida; Malvales; Malvaceae. The record is from Rfam.
AAUCCUUGGUGUGGGCAUUUUUGAAUAAACAUUUUGAACCAUUUCUAUGCCUCAUAUACACUUUAUCCUUCCAUCUAUCUAAAAACAACAAUCUCUCUUCUUAGUUG